GACGAACGCUGGCGGCGUGCUUAACACAUGCAAGUCGAACGGAAAGGCCCUGCUUUUGUGGGGUGCUCGAGUGGCGAACGGGUGAGUAACACGUGAGUAACCUGCCCUUGACUUUGGGAUAACUUCAGGAAACUGGGGCUAAUACCGGAUAGGAGCUCCUGCUGCAUGGUGGGGGUUGGAAAGUUUCGGCGGUUGGGGAUGGACUCGCGGCUUAUCAGCUUGUUGGUGGGGUAGUGGCUUACCAAGGCUUUGACGGGUAGCCGGCCUGAGAGGGUGACCGGCCACAUUGGGACUGAGAUACGGAGCAGACUCCUACGGGAGGCAGCAGUGGGGAAUAUUGCACAAUGGGCGGAAGCCUGAUGCAGAAACGCCGCGUGCGGGAUGACGGCCUUCGGGUUGUAAACCGCUUUCGCCUGUGACGAAGCGUGAGUGACGGUAAUGGGUAAAGAAGCACCGGCUAACUACGUG
This 468-nucleotide ribosomal RNA is filed under the name uncultured bacterium. Its description in RNAcentral is "partial 16S ribosomal RNA". It matches the Rfam family "Bacterial small subunit ribosomal RNA", at positions 28 to 507 of the family's 1533-position model. The record is from RNAcentral.